UGGGUUGUGGCUCAGUGGUAGAGCUCUUGCCUAGCACGUGUGAGGUCCUGGGUUCAAUCCUCAGCACCACAU
RNAcentral lists this transfer RNA (72 nucleotides) under Urocitellus parryii (Arctic ground squirrel). Its description in RNAcentral is "Spermophilus parryii (Arctic ground squirrel) tRNA". It matches the Rfam family "tRNA". Rfam says of the family: Transfer RNA (tRNA) molecules are approximately 80 nucleotides in length. RNAcentral also lists the same sequence under 1 other name. Lineage: Eukaryota; Metazoa; Chordata; Mammalia; Rodentia; Sciuridae. The record is from Rfam by way of RNAcentral.